Molecule: long non-coding RNA, 373 nt
Organism: Hyaena hyaena (striped hyena)
Lineage: Eukaryota; Metazoa; Chordata; Mammalia; Carnivora; Hyaenidae
Exons: 3
Source: RefSeq, a predicted model, not a curated record
AAAGAGUUCAAAUUUCCAGUUACAGAAUGACCCCUGGAGGGAAUACCAGGUGAGAAAUUUGAGAGGCCUACAUCAGGGCUAUAUUGCCUGUUAGCCAAGACUUAGCUCACUCAUGAGGAAGCACUGCAGAGGAUUGUGAGGACCUUCCAUCGUGUUCCAAGUCUACAAAAUGCCUGAGACAUGUUCACCAGGAAUCUAUGUGUGUGAGUGAUAUAAGAAGACCCUCCUGGAUGAAACAUGUGUCUGAACCAGAUCAAAGCCUCAAUUAGCAGAAGGAUAGAGUGGUUCUGAGAAAAUCACAGAACAGUCACUGCAUUGGGGCUUCAUGGAUCUGUGCCCGAACCCUAAGAGAGGUGGCCACCUCUAUUCUUUA